Molecule: ribosomal RNA, 784 nt
Filed under: Streptomyces tricolor
Lineage: Bacteria; Bacillati; Actinomycetota; Actinomycetes; Kitasatosporales; Streptomycetaceae
Description: bacterial SSU rRNA
Rfam family: Bacterial small subunit ribosomal RNA
Source: RNAcentral
CGUAACAGGUACCCACUUCUCUAGGGGUAUAGUGCUGAACGGGUGAGUACCACUUGGGCAAUCUGCCCUGCACUCUGGGACAAGCCCUGGAAACGGGGUCUAAUACCGGAUAUGAGCCUGGGAGGCAUCUCCCGGGUUGUAAAGCUCCGGCGGKGCAGGAUGAGCCCGCGGCCUAUCAGCUUGUUGGUGAGGUAACGGUUCACCAAGGCGACGACCGGUAGCCGGCCUGAGAGGGCGACCGGCCACACUGGGACUGAGACACGGCCCAGACUCCUACGGGAGGCAGCAGUGGGGAAUAUUGCACAAUGGGCGCAAGCCUGAUGCAGCGACGCCGCGUGAGGGAUGACGGCCUUCGGGUUGUAAACCUCUUUCAGCAGGGAAGAAGCGAAAGUGACGGUACCUGCAKAAGAAGCGCCGGCUAACUACGUGCCAGCAKCCGCGGUAAUACGUAGGGCGCAAGCGUUGUCCGGAAUUAUUGGGCGUAAAGAGCUCGUAGGCGGCUUGUCACGUCGGAUGUGAAAGCCCGGGGCUUAACCCCGGGUCUGCAUUCGAUACGGGCAGGCUAGAGUUCGGUAGGGGAGAUCGGAAUUCCUGGUGUAGCGGUGAAAUGCGCAGAUAUCAGGAGGAACACCGGUGGCGAAGGCGGAUCUCUGGGCCGAUACUGACGCUGAGGAGCGAAAGCGUGGGGAGCGAACAGGAUUAGAUACCCUGGUAGUCCACGCCGUAAACGGKGGGCACUAGGUGUGGGCAACAUUCCACGUUGUCCGUGCCGCAGCUAACGCAU